Molecule: ribosomal RNA, 756 nt
Filed under: uncultured beta proteobacterium
Lineage: Bacteria; Pseudomonadati; Pseudomonadota; Betaproteobacteria
Description: bacterial SSU rRNA
Rfam family: Bacterial small subunit ribosomal RNA
Source: RNAcentral
AGAGUUUGAUCCUGGCUCAGAUUGAGCGCUGGCGGAAUGCUUUACACAGGCAAGUCGAGCGGCAGCGCGGGGCAACCUGGCGGCGAGCGGCGAACGGGUGAGUAAUGCAUCGGAACAUGUCCAUGUCGUGGGGGAUAGCCCGGCGAAAGCCGGAUUAAUACCGCAUACGCCCGAGAGGGGAAAGUGGGGGACCGCAAGGCCUCACGCGAUUGGGUUGGCCGAUGUCCGAUUAGCUAGUUGGUGGGGUAAAGGCUUACCAAGGCGAUGAUCGGUAGCUGGUCUGAGAGGAUGAUCAGCCACACUGGGACUGAGACACGGCCCAGACUCCUACGGGAGGCAGCAGUGGGGAAUUUUGGACAAUGGGGGCAACCCUGAUCCAGCCAUUCCGCGUGAGUGAAGAAGGCCUUCGGGUUGUAAAGCUCUUUUGUCCGGAACGAAACGGUUACGGUGAACACCCGUGACUACUGACGGUACCGGAAGAAUAAGCACCGGCUAACUACGUGCCAGCAGCCGCGGUAAUACGUAGGGUGCGAGCGUUAAUCGGAAUUACUGGGCGUAAAGCGUGCGCAGGCGGUUUUGUAAGCCAGAUGUGAAAUCCCCGGGCUUAACCUGGGAAUGGCAUUUGGGACUGCAAGGCUGGAGUGCGGCAGAGGAGACUGGAAUUCCUGGUGUAGCAGUGAAAUGCGUAGAUAUCACGAGGAAUACCGAUGGCGAAAGCAGGUCUCUGGGCUGACACUGACGCUCAUGCACGAAGCG